GACGAACGCUGGCGGCGUGCUUAACACAUGCAAGUCGAGCGGGGACAUUGAAGAAGCUUGCUUUUGAGAUGUUCUAGCGGCGGACGGGUGAGUAACGCGUGAGCAACCUUUCUCUCAGUGGGGAAUAACACAGGGAAACUUGUACUAAUACCGCAUGAGACCACGUUGUCGCAUGGCAAAGGGGUCAAAGAUUUAUCGCUGAGAGGUGGGCUCGCGUCCGAUUAGGUAGUUGGUGAGGUAACGGCCCACCAAGCCGACGAUCGGUAGCCGACCUGAGAGGGUGAUCGGCCACAUUGGGACUGAGACACGGCCCAAACUCCUACGGGAGGCAGCAGUGGGGAAUAUUGGGCAAUGGGGGGAACCCUGACCCAGCAACGCCGCGUGGAGGAAGAAGGUUUUCGGAUCGUAAACUCCUGUCCUCAGGGAAGAGCAGAAGACGGUACCUGAGGAGGAAGCCCCGGCUAACUACGUG
Molecule: ribosomal RNA, 472 nt
Filed under: uncultured bacterium
Lineage: Bacteria
Description: bacterial SSU rRNA
Rfam family: Bacterial small subunit ribosomal RNA
Source: RNAcentral